Molecule: transfer RNA, 71 nt
Organism: Ovis aries (sheep)
Lineage: Eukaryota; Metazoa; Chordata; Mammalia; Artiodactyla; Bovidae
Rfam family: tRNA
About the family: Transfer RNA (tRNA) molecules are approximately 80 nucleotides in length. Their secondary structure includes four short double-helical elements and three loops (D, anti-codon, and T loops).
Source: Rfam
UCCCAGGUGGCUCAGUGGUAAAGAACGUGCCUGCAAUGCAGGAGACUCAGGUUCAAUCCCUGGGUUGGGAA